Molecule: ribosomal RNA, 468 nt
Filed under: uncultured bacterium
Lineage: Bacteria
Description: partial 16S ribosomal RNA
Rfam family: Bacterial small subunit ribosomal RNA
Source: RNAcentral
GACGAACGCUGGCGGCGUGCUUAACACAUGCAAGUCGAACGGAAAGGCCCUGCUUUUGUGGGGUGCUCGAGUGGCGAACGGGUGAUUAACACGUGAGUAACCUGCCCUUGACUUUGGGAUAACUUCAUGAAACUGGGGCUAAUACCGGAUAGGAGCUCCUGCUGCAUGGUGGGGGUUGGAAAGUUUCGGCGGUUGGGGAUGGACUCGCGGCUUAUCAGCUUGUUGGUGGGGUAGUGGCUUACCAAGGCUUUGACGGGUAGCCGGCCUGAGAGGGUGACCGGCCACAUUGGGACGGAGAUACGGCACAGACUCCUACGGGAGGCAGCAGUGGGGAAUAUUGCACAAUGGGAGGAAGCCUGAUGCAGCAACGCCGCGUGCGGGAUGACGGCCUUCGGGUUGUAAACCGCUUUCGCCUGUGACGAAGAGUGAGUGACGGUAAUGGGUAAAGAAGCACCGGCUAACUACGUG